GCCAGGUGUGGUGGUGCACGCCUGUAAUCCCAGCUACUCGGGAGGCUGAGGUGGGAGAAUCGCUUGAACCCAGGAAGCAGAGGUUGCAGUGAGCUGAGAUUGCCACUGCAUUCAGCCUGGGUGACAGAGCAAGACUCCAUCUCAA
Nomascus leucogenys (northern white-cheeked gibbon) is the source of this 145-nucleotide non-coding RNA. It matches the Rfam family "Metazoan signal recognition particle RNA". Rfam says of the family: The signal recognition particle (SRP) is a universally conserved ribonucleoprotein. It is involved in the co-translational targeting of proteins to membranes. The record is from Rfam. Lineage: Eukaryota; Metazoa; Chordata; Mammalia; Primates; Hylobatidae.